UAUAUUUGUGCCAGCUGCCGCGGUUAGACAUAAGAUUCAAGUGAAUUAAAACGGUAUUUAUGGUAAAUUUAAGUAGUGAUAAAAUAAAGAAUUAAAAUGGGUAUAAUCUGAAAAAUUAUAAUUUAGCUUUUUUUAUCUUAAAUAAUAAAUCCAUGAAGGCUUAAGCUAAAACCAGGAUUUGAUACCCAAUUAUUUUAAGCUUCUAAUUAAAACUUGGGUAGUACGGGCACAUGUCUAAAACUCAAAAGAAUUGGCGGUAUUCUAACGUCUCAGAGGAACUUGUUUUUUAAUUUGAUAGUCCGCGUAAAAUGUACUUUCUUUAGAAAACAAUUUCAGCUUGUGUAUUGCCGUUUAUUGCUUACUUUUAAAGAAAUAAAUACAGUUUGGUUCUUGGUAUGGGCCGUUAUAUCAGGUCAAAAUACAGCUUAUAAGGAAGGAUUAUAAUGAGUUACUAUUAAUAUAAAUCGGAUUUUGAAAGUGAAAUUUUAAAUCAAGGGGGAUUUGAAAGUAAAUAAAAAAUUAGAAUUUUUUUUUGAAUUCUGUUAUCUAGAAUAAGUACAAAUCGCCCGUCGUCCCCGCUGAAAGGUGGGGUAAGUCGUAACAUAGUGGGUGUAACGGAAGUUGUACCUAAUAAC
Molecule: ribosomal RNA, 635 nt
Filed under: Eclysippe vanelli
Lineage: Eukaryota; Metazoa; Annelida; Polychaeta; Terebellida; Ampharetidae
Description: partial small subunit ribosomal RNA
Source: RNAcentral